This 360-nucleotide ribosomal RNA is filed under the name Apotolamprus helenae. RNAcentral's name for it is "partial 16S ribosomal RNA". Lineage: Eukaryota; Metazoa; Arthropoda; Insecta; Coleoptera; Scarabaeidae. The record is from RNAcentral.
ACCUGCCCUAUGAUUUUAUUAUUAAAUGGCUGCGGUAAUUUGACCGUACAAAGGUAGCAUAAUCAUUAGUUUUUUAAUUGAGAACUGGAAUGAAAGGUCGAACGAAAAAAAAACUGUCUCAAUUUAAUUUAAAUUAGAAUUUUAUUUUUAAGUUAAAAAGCUUAAAUAAUUUUAAAAGACGAGAAGACCCUAUAGAGUUUUAUAUUUUAAUUUUUAUAUAAAAAAUUAAAGAAUUAUUAUUUUUUAUAAAUAUUAAAAUAUUUAAUUGGGGCGAUUAAAAAAUUUAAAUAACUUUUUUUAAAUUUAAACAUUGAUUUAUGAAUAAUUGAUCCAUAUUUUUAUGAUUAUAAGAUUAAAUUA